Molecule: ribosomal RNA, 116 nt
Filed under: Orchesella cincta
Lineage: Eukaryota; Metazoa; Arthropoda; Collembola; Entomobryomorpha; Orchesellidae
Source: RNAcentral
GCCAACGGCCAUAACACGUGAACACACCAGUUCUCGUCCGAUCACUGAAGUUAAGCAAGUCGGGCCCGGUUAGUACUUGGAUGGGUGACCGCCUGGGAACCCCGGUGCUGUUGGUA